This 785-nucleotide ribosomal RNA is filed under the name Bacillus cereus. RNAcentral describes it as "bacterial SSU rRNA". It matches the Rfam family "Bacterial small subunit ribosomal RNA", at positions 52 to 819 of the family's 1533-position model. Lineage: Bacteria; Bacillati; Bacillota; Bacilli; Caryophanales; Bacillaceae. The record is from RNAcentral.
UACUGCAGUCGAGCGAAUGGAUUAAGAGCUUGCUCUUAUGAAGUUAGCGGCGGACGGGUGAGUAACACGUGGGUAACCUGCCCAUAAGACUGGGAUAACUCCGGGAAACCGGGGCUAAUACCGGAUAACAUUUUGAACCGCAUGGUUCGAAAUUGAAAGGCGGCUUCGGCUGUCACUUAUGGAUGGACCCGCGUCGCAUUAGCUAGUUGGUGAGGUAACGGCUCACCAAGGCAACGAUGCGUAGCCGACCUGAGAGGGUGAUCGGCCACACUGGGACUGAGACACGGCCCAGACUCCUACGGGAGGCAGCAGUAGGGAAUCUUCCGCAAUGGACGAAAGUCUGACGGAGCAACGCCGCGUGAGUGAUGAAGGCUUUCGGGUCGUAAAACUCUGUUGUUAGGGAAGAACAAGUGCUAGUUGAAUAAGCUGGCACCUUGACGGUACCUAACCAGAAAGCCACGGCUAACUACGUGCCAGCAGCCGCGGUAAUACGUAGGUGGCAAGCGUUAUCCGGAAUUAUUGGGCGUAAAGCGCGCGCAGGUGGUUUCUUAAGUCUGAUGUGAAAGCCCACGGCUCAACCGUGGAGGGUCAUUGGAAACUGGGAGACUUGAGUGCAGAAGAGGAAAGUGGAAUUCCAUGUGUAGCGGUGAAAUGCGUAAAGAUAUGGAGGAACACCAGUGGCGAAGGCGACUUUCUGGUCUGUAACUGACACUGAGGCGCGAAAGCGUGAGGAGCAAACAGGAUUAGAUACGCUGGUACUCCACUCCGUAAACGAUGAGUGCUAA